GGAGUACUCCCUCUGUCCUAAAAUUCUUGUCUUAAAUUUUUCUAGAUAUGAAUGUAUCUAGUCAUAGAUUAAUAUUUAGAUACAUUCAUUUUUAGUCAAACCUAAGACAAGAAUUUUAGAAUGAAGGAAGUAUAUA
This is a non-coding RNA of Hordeum vulgare subsp. vulgare (domesticated barley), 136 nucleotides long. NCBI's taxonomy places the organism in Eukaryota, Viridiplantae, Streptophyta, Magnoliopsida, Poales, Poaceae. The record is from Rfam.